RNAcentral lists this transfer RNA (71 nucleotides) under Candidatus Pacearchaeota archaeon. RNAcentral describes it as "tRNA-Trp". It matches the Rfam family "tRNA". From Rfam's summary of the family: Transfer RNA (tRNA) molecules are approximately 80 nucleotides in length. Their secondary structure includes four short double-helical elements and three loops (D, anti-codon, and T loops). Further hydrogen bonds mediate the characteristic L-shaped molecular structure. tRNAs have two regions of fundamental functional importance: the anti-codon, which is responsible for specific mRNA codon recognition, and the 3' end, to which the tRNAs corresponding amino acid is attached (by aminoacyl-tRNA synthetases). tRNAs cope with the degeneracy of the genetic code in two manners: having more than one tRNA (with a specific anti-codon) for a particular amino acid; and 'wobble' base-pairing, i.e. permitting non-standard base-pairing at the 3rd anti-codon position. Lineage: Archaea; Nanobdellati. The record is from RNAcentral.
GGGUGCGUAGGAUAAUGGUAGUCUGGCUGCCUCCAGAGCAGUAGGCGGGGGUUCGAUUCCCUCCGCGCCCA